RNAcentral lists this ribosomal RNA (776 nucleotides) under Enterobacter cloacae. RNAcentral's name for it is "partial 23S ribosomal RNA". It matches the Rfam family "Bacterial large subunit ribosomal RNA", at positions 412 to 1191 of the family's 2925-position model. Lineage: Bacteria; Pseudomonadati; Pseudomonadota; Gammaproteobacteria; Enterobacterales; Enterobacteriaceae. RNAcentral also lists the same sequence under 1 other name. The record is from RNAcentral.
GUAGGGCGGGACACGUGGUAUCCUGUCUGAAUAUGGGGGGACCAUCCUCCAAGGCUAAAUACUCCUGACUGACCGAUAGUGAACCAGUACCGUGAGGGAAAGGCGAAAAGAACCCCGGCGAGGGGAGUGAAAAAGAACCUGAAACCGUGUACGUACAAGCAGUGGGAGCACCUUCGGGUGUGACUGCGUACCUUUUGUAUAAUGGGUCAGCGACUUAUAUUCUGUAGCAAGGUUAACCGUAUAGGGGAGCCGAAGGGAAACCGAGUCUUAACUGGGCGUUAAGUUGCAGGGUAUAGACCCGAAACCCGGUGAUCUAGCCAUGGGCAGGUUGAAGGUUGGGUAACACUAACUGGAGGACCGAACCGACUAAUGUUGAAAAAUUAGCGGAUGACCUGUGGCUGGGGGUGAAAGGCCAAUCAAACCGGGAGAUAGCUGGUUCUCCCCGAAAGCUAUUUAGGUAGCGCCUCGUGAACUCAUCUUCGGGGGUAGAGCACUGUUUCGGCUAGGGGGCCAUCCCGGCUUACCAACCCGAUGCAAACUACGAAUACCGAAGAAUGUUAUCACGGGAGACACACGGCGGGUGCUAACGUCCGUCGUGAAGAGGGAAACAACCCAGACCGCCAGCUAAGGUCCCAAAGUCAUGGUUAAGUGGGAAACGAUGUGGGAAGGCCCAGACAGCCAGGAUGUUGGCUUAGAAGCAGCCAUCAUUUAAAGAAAGCGUAAUAGCUCACUGGUCGAGUCGGCCUGCGCGGAAGAUGUAACGGGGCUAAACCAUG